AAUUUUUUUUCCUUCCUUGUAUUUACCUUACUAUUGUAUUGGAGUAUCACAAAAAAAAUCAAAAUUCAAAAAAAAUUUGAAAAAAAAAGAAAAAAAAAGUGAGCAAAAAAAAAGAGUAAAAAAAGAAGAAGAAAAAAAAAGAAGUGAAAAGUCUUGCGAGUUUUAUUUUCAUCUCUUAUUACUCCGAUCAUCAAGUAUCCCUUCCUACCAUUAUUUAUCCAUCCCAACGCCACACUUUAAACCAAUUUUUUUCUUUGUUCAGCCUACCUUACACCUGACAUUAUCCCUUGUAACCCAUUUUGAAACCG
RNAcentral lists this long non-coding RNA (308 nucleotides) under Gossypium raimondii (Peruvian cotton). RNAcentral's name for it is "long non-coding RNA (GRAI_LNC007408)". Lineage: Eukaryota; Viridiplantae; Streptophyta; Magnoliopsida; Malvales; Malvaceae. The record is from RNAcentral.